AACGAACGCUGGCGGCAUGCCUAACACAUGCAAGUCGAACGAGAUCUUCGGGUCUAGUGGCGCACGGGUGCGUAACGCGUGGGAAUCUGCCCUCAGGUUCGGAAUAACCAUUGGAAACGAUGGCUAAUACCGGAUGAUGACGUUAAGUCCAAAGAUUUAUCGCCUGAGGAUGAGCCCGCGUAGGAUUAGCUAGUUGGUGUGGUAAAGGCGCACCAAGGCGACGAUCCUUAGCUGGUCUGAGAGGAUGAUCAGCCACACUGGGACUGAGACACGGCCCAGACUCCUACGGGAGGCAGCAGUGGGGAAUAUUGGACAAUGGGCGAAAGCCUGAUCCAGCAAUGCCGCGUGAGUGAUGAAGGCCUUAGGGUUGUAAAGCUCUUUUACCCGGGAUGAUAAUGACAGUACCGGGAGAAUAAGCUCCGGCUAACUCCGU
RNAcentral lists this ribosomal RNA (433 nucleotides) under uncultured bacterium. RNAcentral describes it as "partial 16S ribosomal RNA". It matches the Rfam family "Bacterial small subunit ribosomal RNA", at positions 29 to 506 of the family's 1533-position model. The record is from RNAcentral.